RNAcentral lists this ribosomal RNA (481 nucleotides) under uncultured bacterium. Its description in RNAcentral is "bacterial SSU rRNA". It matches the Rfam family "Bacterial small subunit ribosomal RNA", at positions 32 to 524 of the family's 1533-position model. The record is from RNAcentral.
AAUCAACGCUGGCGGCGUGCCUCAGACAUGCAAGUCGAACGAUUAAAGCUCUCUUCGGAGAGUGCAUAGAGUGGCGCACGGGUGAGUAACACGUAAGUAAUCUACCUUCGAGUGGGGAAUAACGUCCGGAAACGGACGCUAAUACCGCAUAAUGCAGCGGCAUCGUAAGAUGACAGUUGUUAAAGAUUUAUCGCUUGAAGAGGAGCUUGCGGCAGAUUAGCUAGUUGGUAAGGUAAUGGCUUACCAAGGCUACGAUCUGUAACCGGUCUUAGAGGACGGUCGGUCACACUGACACUGAAUAACGGGUCAGACUCCUACGGGAGGCAGCAGUCGGGAAUUUUGGGCAAUGGGCGAAAGCCUGACCCAGCAACGCCGCGUGAAGGAUGAAGUAUUUCGGUAUGUAAACUUCGAAAGAAUAGGAAGAAUAAAUGACGGUACUAUUAUAAGGUCCGGCUAACUACGUGCCAGCAGCCGCGGUAAU